AAGGGUUUCACCUCCUUUCAGGGGAACCCGGAGAAUUGGGUUAUUUUCCCGGUUAAUGAAGGCUUGUUGAUUAUAAGAUUAUCGGUAAAGAGGGCCUGCGUUUCUUAGCUAGUGGUGGGUAACGCUUCCAAGGUAGGAGAUUAGGGUCCUGAGAGGAGAUCCCCCACAUGGUAAUAGACACGGACCAGAUUCCUACGGGAGGCAGCAGUGAGGAAUAUUGGUCAAGGAGGCAACUCUGAACCAGCCAUGCCGCGUGCAGGAUGACGGUCCUAUGGAUUGUAAACUGCUUUUGUACGGGAAGAAAUGUGAUUACGUGUAAUUAUUUGACGGUACCGUAAGAAUAAGGAUCGGCUAACUCCGUGCCAGCAGCCGCGGUAAUACGGAGGAUCCGAGCGUUAUCCGGAAUUAUUGGGUUUAAAGGGUUCGUAGGCGGUUGAGUAAGUCAGUGGUGAAAUCUUAUAGCUUAACUAUAAAAUUGCCGUUGAUACUGCUUGACUUGAAUAGUAUGGAAGUAAUUAGAAUAUGUAGUGUAGCGGUGAAAUGCUUAGAUAUUACAUGGAAUACCAAUUGCGAAGGCAGAUUACUACGUACUUAUUGACGCUGAUGAACGAAAGCGUGGGUAGCGAACAGGAUUAGAUACCCUGGUAGUCCACGCCGUAAACGAUGGAUACUAGCUGUUCGGUUUUCGGACUGAGUGGCUAAGCGAAAGUGAUAAGUAUCCCACCUGGGGAGUACGUUCGCAAGAAUGAAACUCAAAGGAAUUGACGGGGGCCCGCACAAGCGGUGGAGCAUGUGGUUUAAUUCGAUGAUACGCGAGGAACCUUACCAAGGCUUAAAUGUAGAUUGACAGGUUUAGAGAUAGACUUUUCUUCGGACAAUUUACAAGGUGCUGCAUGGUUGUCGUCAGCUCGUGCCGUGAGGUGUCAGGUUAAGUCCUAUAACGAGCGCAACCCCUAUUGUUAGUUGCCAGCGAGUCAAGUCGGGAACUCUAACAAGACUGCCGGUGCAAACCGUGAGGAAGGUGGGGAUGACGUCAAAUCAUCACGGCCCUUACGUCUUGGGCUACACACGUGCUACAAUGGCCAGUACAGAAAGCAGCUACCAGGCAACUGGAUGCGAAUCUCAAAAACUGGUCUCAGUUCGGAUUGGAGUCUGCAACUCGACUCCAUGAAGCUGGAAUCGCUAGUAAUCGGAUAUCAGCCAUGAUCCGGUGAAUACGUUCCCGGGCCUUGUACACACCGCCCGUCAAGCCAUGGAAGCCGGGGGUACCUGAAGUCGGUCGCCCGCAGA
This 1290-nucleotide ribosomal RNA is filed under the name Myroides odoratus. Its description in RNAcentral is "bacterial SSU rRNA". It matches the Rfam family "Bacterial small subunit ribosomal RNA", at positions 118 to 1442 of the family's 1533-position model. The record is from RNAcentral. Lineage: Bacteria; Pseudomonadati; Bacteroidota; Flavobacteriia; Flavobacteriales; Flavobacteriaceae.